AGAACGAACGCUGGCGGCAGGCUUAACACAUGCAAGUCGAACGGUUGUAGCAAUACAGCAGUGGCAGACGGGUGAGUAACACGUGGGAACCUUCCUAGGGGUACGGAACAACUCAGGGAAACUUGAGCUAAUACCGUAUACGUCCGUAGAGGAGAAAGAUUUAUCGCCCCUAGACGGGCCCGCGUAGGAUUAGGUAGUUGGUGAGGUAACGGC
This 213-nucleotide ribosomal RNA is filed under the name uncultured soil bacterium. RNAcentral describes it as "partial 16S ribosomal RNA". It matches the Rfam family "Bacterial small subunit ribosomal RNA", at positions 26 to 264 of the family's 1533-position model. The record is from RNAcentral.